RNAcentral lists this ribosomal RNA (774 nucleotides) under uncultured bacterium. RNAcentral's name for it is "bacterial SSU rRNA". It matches the Rfam family "Bacterial small subunit ribosomal RNA", at positions 8 to 796 of the family's 1533-position model. The record is from RNAcentral.
AGAGUUUGAUCAUGGCUCAGGACGAACGCUGGCGGCGUGCUUAACACAUGCAAGUCAAGGGGGCCCAGCAAUGGGCAACCGGCGAACGGGUGCGUAACACGUGAGCAACCUACCGAACUGUGGGGGAUAGCCGNNCUAACGGCCGAGUAAUCCCAUACGCUUUCAUUGAGGCAUUUCAGUGAAAGGAAACCUACGGGACAGAUCGAGGGGCUCGCGGCCUAUCAGCUAGUUGCGAGGUAACGGCUCACCAAGGCGACGACGGGUAGCUGGUCUGAGAGGAUGGCCAGCCACAUUGGGACUGAGAUACGGCCCAGACUCCUACGGGAGGCAGCAGUGGGGAAUCUUGCGCAAUGGCCUAACGGCUGACGCAGCGACGCCGCGUGUGGGAUGAAGCUCUUCGGAGUGUAAACCACUGUUGCCCGGGACGAACAUCUCCUUUUGAGGGGACUGACGGUACCGGGUGAGGAAGCACCGGCUAACUCUGUGCCAGCAGCCGCGGUAAUACAGAGGGUGCGAGCGUUGUCCGGAAUCACUGGGCGUAAAGGGCGCGUAGGCGGCUCGGUAAGGUUGCGGUGAAAGCCCGGGGCUCAACCCCGGGUCGGCCGUGGCAACUGCUGGGCUGGAGCACUGUAGAGGCAGGUGGAAUUCCGGGUGUAGCGGUGGAAUGCGUAGAGAUCCGGAAGAACACCGGUGGCGAAGGCGNNNUCUGGGCAGUAGCUGACGCUGAUGCGCGACAGCGUGGGGAGCAAACAGGAUUAGAUACCCUAGUAGUCC